CCUACGGGCGGCUGCAGUGGGGAAUAUUGGACAAUGGGCGAAAGCCUGAUCCAGCCAUGCCGCGUGUGUGAAGAAGGCCUUCGGGAUGUAAAGCACUUUCAGUGGGGAAGAAAGCCUUGGGGCUAAUACCCUCGAGGAAGGACAUCACCCACAGAAGAAGCACCGGCUAACUCCGUGCCAGCAGCCGCGGUAAUACGGAGGGUGCGAGCGUUAAUCGGAAUUACUGGGCGUAAAGCGCGCGUAGGCGGUCUGAUAAGCCGGUUGUGAAAGCCCCGGGCUCAACCUGGGAACGGCAUCCGGAACUGUCAGGCUAGAGUGCAGGAGAGGAAGGUAGAAUUCCCGGUGUAGCGGUGAAAUGCGUAGAGAUCGGGAGGAAUACCAGUGGCGAAGGCGGCCUUCUGGACUGACACUGACGCUGAGGUGCGAAAGCGUGGGUAGCAAACAGGAUUAGAUACCCCGUAGUC
This 464-nucleotide ribosomal RNA is filed under the name Vreelandella stevensii. RNAcentral describes it as "partial 16S ribosomal RNA". It matches the Rfam family "Bacterial small subunit ribosomal RNA", at positions 338 to 795 of the family's 1533-position model. Lineage: Bacteria; Pseudomonadati; Pseudomonadota; Gammaproteobacteria; Oceanospirillales; Halomonadaceae. The record is from RNAcentral.